RNAcentral lists this transfer RNA (26 nucleotides) under Platalea leucorodia (Eurasian spoonbill). Its description in RNAcentral is "partial tRNA-Met". RNAcentral also lists the same sequence under 1 other name. Lineage: Eukaryota; Metazoa; Chordata; Aves; Pelecaniformes; Threskiornithidae. The record is from RNAcentral.
UGAUGGUUUAACUCCUUCCCCUACUA